AUCAAUCAGAAAUAUAUGUUCUUAAGGACACAAUUCAUGCUUUGGAUUGACAGAAAACUAAAAUUAAGAACAAGCCAGAUAAUAUGGAGUCUCUUUAUUUCUGUAUUAUUCUUGCGCAGACAAAGACUUAAAAGGUGCGCAGACAAAGACUUAAAAGGACUUAACAAAGACUCCCUUUCCUUGGUCUUUGUUUUUCUCUCCACCCUCUUGCUUAAUCCAGUCCACAAAAGCAUCAAUGGUGCUCAAGUCAGCCCUGCGUUUUUUCUGGGUAAAUUCUAGCAGAGUAGGCCAAGUAAAGUCUGGG
This 304-nucleotide long non-coding RNA is filed under the name Fragaria vesca (wild strawberry). Its description in RNAcentral is "long non-coding RNA (FVES_LNC003607)". The record is from RNAcentral. Lineage: Eukaryota; Viridiplantae; Streptophyta; Magnoliopsida; Rosales; Rosaceae.